This 367-nucleotide unclassified non-coding RNA is filed under the name Melitaea cinxia (Glanville fritillary). RNAcentral's name for it is "misc RNA ENSMCXG00005001352.1". The record is from RNAcentral. Lineage: Eukaryota; Metazoa; Arthropoda; Insecta; Lepidoptera; Nymphalidae.
GGAGGCAAUGUUGUUUAUUUAUUUAAAUCAAUGUAAUGUAUUAUAACAUGGACGGCAGAGUACUAUUUUACACUUGGGGCACCACGUUAUCACUUUAGAAGCCUUUGUACCAGCAAGUUUUGAAGAUUGUCCCUCUGAAAUGAGCUUAUUAUAGCAGCCUUUGCAUCGUUUUUUAUUCGUUUUACGACCUGGUUCCUUGGUCAUUUUCUUGAAGGUGUGUUUGUUUUCAGGUAACGACUGCGGGCGUCCAACAUAUGUUUGGUUUUCGUCUCUUACCUUCUACGGCAAUUUUUUUGUACCAAGUUAUCGAUUUUCUUGUAAGACUAUUGUAGCUACUCAACUGAUCCGACACAUCGAUACCUUUUUU